RNAcentral lists this ribosomal RNA (452 nucleotides) under uncultured bacterium. RNAcentral's name for it is "bacterial SSU rRNA". It matches the Rfam family "Bacterial small subunit ribosomal RNA", at positions 917 to 1382 of the family's 1533-position model. The record is from RNAcentral.
GGGCCCGCACAAGCAGCGGAGCGUGUGGUUUAAUUCGAUGAUACGCGAAGAACCUUACCUGGGUUUGACAUACAGGUGGUAAUGAGCCGAGAGGCAAGUGACCCUUCGGGGAGCCUGAACAGGUGUUGCAUGGCUGUCGUCAGCUCGUGUCGUGAGAUGUUGGGUUAAGUCCCGCAACGAGCGCAACCCACGUUGCCAGUUACAAGUGUCUGGCGAGACAGCCGGUAUUAAACCGGAGGAAGGUGUGGAUGAAGUCAAGUCAGCAUGACCUUUAUAUCCAGGGCUACACACACGCUACAAUGGCCGGUACAAUGGGCAGCGACACUGCGAGGUGGAGCGAAUCCUGAAAGCCGGUCUCAGUUCGGAUAGCAGUCUGCAACUCGACUGCUUGAAGGUGGAGUUGCUAGUAAACGCGCGUCAGCCAUAGUGCGUUGAAUACGUUCCCGGGCCUU